This 328-nucleotide ribosomal RNA is filed under the name uncultured eukaryote. RNAcentral describes it as "partial 18S ribosomal RNA". It matches the Rfam family "Eukaryotic small subunit ribosomal RNA", at positions 1470 to 1796 of the family's 1831-position model. The record is from RNAcentral.
CCCUUAGACGUUCUGGGCCGCACGCGCGCUACACUGACCAGUGCAACAAGCAUCCGUCCUUGGCCGACAGGCUCGGGCAAUCUUUGAACGCUGGUCGUGAUGGGGAUAGACUUUUGCAAUUUUUGGUCUUCAACGAGGAAUUCCUAGUAAACGCAAGUCAUCAGCUUGCAUUGAUUACGUCCCUGCCCUUUGUACACACCGCCCGUCGCACCUACCGAUUGAAUGGUCCGGUGAAAUCUUCGGAUCUGAGAGAUGUCUGAUUAAUUUCGGACGCCUUUUGGAAAAGUUGUUUAAACCUUACCAUUUAGAGGAAGGUGAAGUCGUAACA